This is an RNA transcript of Alnus glutinosa, 1331 nucleotides long. It is a transcript of the gene named membrane-anchored ubiquitin-fold protein 6-like, with no coding region annotated. The transcript has 4 exons. Lineage: Eukaryota; Viridiplantae; Streptophyta; Magnoliopsida; Fagales; Betulaceae. The record is from RefSeq and is a predicted model, not a curated record.
ACUAUGUUAAAAAUUGUCACUUUCUAUAUCAUUAGGUUUUUCAGUUAGAUUCAGGUAAAAGGAUCUGACUUGUGAAGUUUCUAUUCAGGUAGUUCCUUUCUUUCUUUCUUAUAUUAUACAUCAAGCAAUUGGAAGGAAGCUGUCUCUAUUCAGUAUUCUCUAUUCCCUAUUCCACAGAGAGCUCCGUUCAGUUACUGUUCUUUGGUUGGCAUGUAAGAUAAUUGGAUCUGGGUUUUCAAUAUUAUCAGUUGGAAAAUAGUGUGUUUCUUUAAUGGAUUCUCUCUGUCCUCGUUGAAGAUUUUGAGCCAACUUUUUCGUCUUGAUCUGGGUUUUCAAUAUUUUCCUCUUUAAUGUUGAGUUUCCUUGUUCUCAGCUCAAAAUCAUCUUUCUAAAGAGAGAAAAAGGCUUUGUAUUAGAGAAAUUUUGAAUCUUUUGUGGGAGGUUCAUGAGUCUCUGAUCCUGGUUAUGAGAAUUUGAGUUUGGGGCUUUUUCCUUUUCUUUUUUUCUUCUGUGGGAGGUCCGUCAAUGGCAAGUGAAGAUUUGAUUGAGCUCAGAUUCAGGCUAGCUGAUGGCUCUGACAUCGGGCCGAGCAAGUACAGUCCAGCUACCACUGUGGCAUCUCUAAAAGGGAAAAUACUUGCACAGUGGCCUAAAGAGAAAGAAAAUGGUCCGAAAACAAUAAACGACGUGAAGCUUAUUAAUGCCGGAAAGAUACUGGAAAAUAACAGGACGCUUGCCGAGUCCAGGGUCCCGGUUGGUGAACUCCCAGGAGGUGUCAUCACUAUGCAUGUUGUUGUUCGGCCUCCUCUUUCUGACAAAAUCAGUGUUUGACUGCAGUCAGGAACAGAAUCGGGAUUUCUCAUGGGGGCCAAAGCAUGGAUGGGGAGGCCAUAUCCCCCUGCCCCCUGGUUCCGUCCCUGACUGCAGCAAAUGAUUCACCUUGGCCGUAAUAACGAUCACGCCGGGGCGGGUACAUUCAUGAUAACGAAUAACAAACUGCACAAUGAUUCUUCAGAGAAGACUUGCUGUUCAUGCUCCAUCUUGUAGCUCCAAGUAAGAAAAAUCAACGGGGCUUCUACAAUUACGUUCGUGUCUCAAUGUGCGUCUGUUAGAUCCUUGCUGAGACGCAGUUCAGAAACUAUCAGUUUGAUUUUAAGCUGGUGGAGAAACAAGAAGCUUGGAGGUUUCUCCCCCAGACAUCAUUUACUUUGAUCUUGUGGUUUCCUUCUGUAAAACCUUGUGGUUCCUUCAUUGCUUGUGAAUGAUAGAAACGAAUAGGGCAAAUCACUGGAUUUGAAGCGUAAUUUAUUAAGAGAGUUUUCUUGGCACAA